CCUCUACUCUCUACUCUCUCUCUCUACUCUGUCUCUCUAAUCUGUCUCUCACUCUCUCUCUACUCUCUCUCUACUCUGACUACUCUCUCUCUAUUCUCUCUCUACUCUGUCUGCCUGGAAGCCCUGUUCUGUACCUUGUUGCACACCAAAAUAGCCUGGGUUGUAUUCACUAGAAACCAAACAGAAGAAAACAGACUACCUGAACUUGUCCAAAAAAGAAACAAAUUUUUGUUGCUGAACGCUUUCCGUGUGUUUAACGUUCUGCUACGUUGUGCACUAAUGAACACGACCCUGAUACCGUAGACAGGCUGUCCUAUAGAAGCGUUCUGUCCCACCGACCAGCCAAAGGAUUAGCGAAUGUAGAGACCAAACUAAUAUUAGGGUGUCCAAAACACCCUUUGGUGAUGAAGUUUCACUUUCUUAUGUUUUAUAACACAUUUUACGAGACAAAUACGAUUAUUUAUGUUCUGACUCAUUCAGUGGGGUUUUCUUUAACAUAUCCUUAACAUUAUAUCAGAAAGUAGGAUUUUUUUUGUAACCUAACAUCUGAUGAUAACCACCUAGCUCUGUUGACGUUGCAGUGCACGUUUCUCCUAACAACUUUUGAGGAUUUUACAUUUUGUUGUCGUUGUCUUCAAAGUUGUUUCCGCGUGUGACACAAAAAAAAAACAGCCAAAUUUGACACGAGCUGAAUUAAAAUGUAAAAGGCUUGAAAAUAAAUAGCUUGGUAUACGCUCAGUGCCCUGUACACAUUUCACAGAGAAACGCUUUGUUUUUGUGUGAGAAAGCUUUGAAAAAGAACAGGAAUUUUUGAGUGAAUAUGAAAAUACUAUGUCACAUCUCAAAAUUGAUAUUUAUGUUACAUCUAGAUUGUUUUAUGUCCUGUUGAUUUGAGAAGAGAGAUGAAGAGUUCAACGGGAAAGGGAUCCUGCCAGUUUAGCUGAUUCGAUGCUAUUUUACAGAUUGUUUUUCUACACAAUUAACAUUAUUUUACCGAUUGGUCAAAAGAUGCGUUUUUGAUUGGAAAUAUGCAGUGUUUCUCUUCUGUUAGAAGGUUGUAGUCUGUUGAGAACGGUUGGUUGCCAAAUAUCUUUUUUUGUAAACAAUGCAGGUGUUUUGAUGGUCUUUGAUGCCCAAAGCCCUUGAAGAGUCCAGCAGCAUCUUCAUCAUGUUUUUUAUCAUGUUGUUGUUGAUGCACUAACAGAAUCAGCUGUCCAGGAGAGUAGAGCAGCAAUCCUCUGGCCAAAGAGGAAACCUACCUCACAUACUGGCUCACAUACUGGCUCACAUACUGGCUAACAUACUGUCUAACAUACUGUCUAACAUACUGUCUAACAUACUGUCUAACAUACUGUCUAACAUACUGUCUAACAUACUGUCUAACAUACUGUCUAACAUACUGUCUAACAUACUGUCUAACAUACUGUCUAACAUACUGUCUAACAUACUGUCUAACAUACUGUCUAACAUACUGUCUAACAUACUGUCUAACAUACUGGCUAACAUACUGGCUAACAUACUGGCUAACAUACUGGCUAACAUACUGGCUAACAUACUGGUUGGUGGUCUGACUCCCACACCUAUUCACUAGGAACCAAACGUAAGCAAACAGGCUGCUCACACAGGAUUUGAUUCUGGGGUACCAAGAUUACACCACACCAUACCAGACUCUUCCUCCUGUGCCCAAUAGCCUGGGGAUGAGGUCGAAGGUUAACUGGGAUGAAUCCAUGUUAGCGUCUCAAAUACCCCUCCUAUCUAGUGUGCUACUGUUGACCAGGAUUCUGGUAGUGCAAUAUAUAUAGGAAAUAGGAUGCAAUUUGGGACGCAGGCAUGUAGUGCCAAAUCGUGUUGGACUGCCUCCUCCCUCUUCCUCCCUCCCCUAUCCACUGUUAUGUAACACAGUGUGGUUGUUGACGUGGAUUUUGAUGAUAUCUCUGUUCACUACUCAGCUAUCUGCAGCUGGGACAUUACACAAAACCGGUACGAUUUUUUAAAACCAAAAUAAAUACUUAUUUCUGAGCACCUCACGACAUUAAGGACAUAUUGAACCUCUUAAGAAAACAUAUUUUUCCAUCUCAGGCAAGAAAAGCCCUGUCAUUAUCAGCCAUUUUCUUCUGAUAUGGACACGAUUUGUCCUUUUAUGGACACCGUGGAAGUUGUCUGGAUGUGAUUAUAACAUACACUUGUAAUAAAAUUAAUAUUUCACAUGUCAACAGGUCAUCUUACUGAACAGGUCAACACAGGUCAUCUUACUGAACAGGUCAACACAGGUCAUCUUGGUCAACAGGUCAUCAUACUGAACAGGUCAACAGGUCAUCUUACUGAACAGGUCAACAGGUCAUCUUACUGAACAGGACAACAGGUCAUCUUACUGAACAGGUCCACUUACUGAACAGGUUAUCUUACUGAACAGGUCAACAGGUCAUCUUACUGAACAGGUCCACAGGUCAUCUUACUGAACAGGUCCACAGGUCAUCUUACUGAACAGGUCAACAGGUCAUCUUACUGAACAGGUCAACACAGGUCAUCUUACUGAACAGGUCAACACAGGUCAUCUUACUGAACAGGUCAACACAGGUCAUCUUACUGAACAGGUCAACACAGGUCAUCUUACUGAACAGGUCAACACAGGUCAUCUUACUGAACAGGUCAACAGGUCAUCUUACUGAACAGGUCAACAGGUCAUCUUACUGAACAGGUCAACAGGUCAUCUUACUGAACAGGUCAACAGGUCAUCUUACUGAACAGGUCAA
Molecule: long non-coding RNA, 2753 nt
Organism: Oncorhynchus tshawytscha (Chinook salmon)
Lineage: Eukaryota; Metazoa; Chordata; Actinopteri; Salmoniformes; Salmonidae
Exons: 3
Source: RefSeq, a predicted model, not a curated record